RNAcentral lists this ribosomal RNA (722 nucleotides) under uncultured bacterium. RNAcentral's name for it is "bacterial SSU rRNA". It matches the Rfam family "Bacterial small subunit ribosomal RNA", at positions 28 to 751 of the family's 1533-position model. The record is from RNAcentral.
GACGAACGCGGCGGCGUGCUUACACAUGCAAGUCACGGGGGCCCGCAAGGGUAACCGGCGAACGGGUGCGUAACACGUGAGCGACCUUGCCUCGUGGUGGGGGAUAGCCGGCCCAACGGCCGGGUAAUACCGCAUAGGGUACUUCUCUCGCAUGGGAGAGGUAGCAAAGCUGAGUCGUAAGACUUGGCGCCACAGGGGGGGCUCGCGGCCUAUCAGCUAGUUGGGGGGGUAAUGGCCCACCAAGGCGACGACGGGUAGCUGGUCUGAGAGGAUGGCCAGCCACAUUGGGACUGAGAGACGGCCCAGACUCCUACGGGAGGCAGCAGUGGGGAAUCUUGCGCAAUGGCCGAAAGGCUGACGCAGCGACGCCGCGUGGGGGAGGAAGGCCUUCGGGUUGUAAACCCCUGUUGCCCGGGACGAAUGUGCACUAUAGAGUGCAUUGACGAUACCGGGUGAGGAAGCACCGGCUAACUCCGUGCCAGCAGCCGCGGUAAUACGGAGGGUGCAAGCGUUGUCCGGAAUCACUGGGCGUAAAGGGCGCGUAGGCGGCUCAUGAAGGCUGUGGUGAAAGUCCGGGGCUCAACCUCGGAUCGGCCGUGGCGACUCGUGGGCUGGAGCACUGUAGAGGCGGGUGGAAUUCCGGGUGUAGCGGUGGAAUGCGUAGAGAUCCGGAAGAACACCAGUGGCGAAGGCGGCCCGCUGGGCAGUGGCUGACGCUGAGG